UUUAAAAACGACCCUUAGCCCCGCCCCAGGUGGUGAGGCUUCCGCCUCCGGCUCCUUUUAAAGGGGAACCCACUUCUGUAGGCCAAACCGCGACCUCCCAGCAGCUCUUUGCCUUUAAGGAGGUGGGACAUUGCGAUGAUCUCAUGUUAGCCCAGGUUGGCCUCAGACUCACUAUGGACUCGAGGCUAGCCUUAAAUUUCUGAUCCUCCCUUCUCCACCUCCCAAAAGCUGAGAUCACAGCAGGGGCUGACAUGAUCUUUUGCCAGAUGGACAGAAGCCCAGGUAUCAGACAGUUCUGUGGCAGAGCACGGUUGUCUCUGGGUUCAUGAUGGGAUCGAGAGCAUGCCGACUUCAGGUUGUGGAGAAAAGGUCAGCUGCUGCUGCCACCCAAUAAAGCUGAUGACUUGAGACCUUAUCUCAACACA
Psammomys obesus (fat sand rat) is the source of this 425-nucleotide long non-coding RNA. RefSeq lists it as uncharacterized. The transcript is spliced from 3 exons. The record is from RefSeq and is a predicted model, not a curated record. NCBI's taxonomy places the organism in Eukaryota, Metazoa, Chordata, Mammalia, Rodentia, Muridae.